Molecule: long non-coding RNA, 1388 nt
Organism: Lates calcarifer (barramundi perch)
Lineage: Eukaryota; Metazoa; Chordata; Actinopteri; Centropomidae
Exons: 3
Source: RefSeq, a predicted model, not a curated record
GAAGACUUCACACGAUUCUGGAACGAAUUCUGGAACUUUCCUAAAUGGAAAGUUGCUACGAUAAUGUUAAUUAUGUCUUUAAAUGUGGUUAAUGGCGAGUUUUACCAGCUAGUUUAGGAGUUAUUACAGUCUACAGAAGGAGGAGAGAGACAUUUGACUUCAUUAGACAGAGAGGGACAGGUAACUCUCCGUGGACCAGGUGAGGAGCAGAUGUCUCAGCUUCGGUCUGAACCAGUGGCACUGAACCAAACCUGUCCACCAUGUCGGUCUGACUGAACUCCACCAGCAGCCUGUAUCCACCAUUCCUUCAGUGUUUCCCUCAAGCUUCAUAGACUCGUGAAGAUCCUUGAAGAUGUUUCAUCUCCCAUUCAAGAGGCUUCCUCAGUUUUGACUGGGUGGUAGGGAAAUCUCAGGUAUCUAACCUCCAUGGGGUCGUUAUCAAGGCCAUUGAUGUCAUUUGGUUUGUUGAUUACAACUUUAACGACUGUUGUAACGGCAGUCUUUAGAGUUGUCACAUGAGGUCAGGUGUGAGUGGUUGUGAUGCUAACAGGAUGCCAAUCGCGAUAACUGGCCACUCGUCAUUGUGGUUGUUGUAACUCUGCACUGGGUGGUUGGAUGUGGUCAAGGACAGGCCUUCACCACUCCUCGUUAGUAUAGUGGACAGUAUCUCCGCCUGUCACGCGGAAGACCGGGGUUCGAUUCCCCGACGGGGAGUAAUGCUUCUUUUCUACGGUAGUAAUUGUACUGAGGUUUUAAAAAUAUUUUUGGCCCUCAAAAAACUAUUAUGUUGUUAUUAAGGUAUCAAGGUGAGAAUGAUUGACUGAAGUAUAUUCUAACAAUCUAUAGAGUCUUUUAACAUGAAUAUAACAAAAGGCUUCAGCUAUCAUUACCAUUUCUAUAUUUGCCAAAGAAAAGGAUUUUUAUACGUGCUAAUGUUCUCAAUACAAUAGCCCGAAUGAGUGCAGAGGUCGCAGUGUCUUUGACCCCAGUGCUGGGCUGUCAUCCGUUGCAGUUUCCGUAGUGUAGUGGUUAUCACGUUCGCCUCACACGCGAAAGGUCCCCGGUUCGAAACCGGGCGGAAACAUGGAUUUUCCACCUCUCCAUGUUGAUGAAGGGAUCGAAUCUGACGGCUUUAAGAUUUAAUGAUUUGAACUUGACUGUAGAUCCUUGAAUUGGUUUCAUCUCUGAUCCAAAAUCAUUAACUCUUACAGUGUGUUUACUGUCAUAGUCAGUCAGAUGACAGAAACGUGUGUGAACUGAAGUGAAGUAAAAAAACGCUUGUUUCCGCCCGGUUUCGAACCGGGGACCUUUCGCGUGUUAGGCGAACGUGAUAACCACUACACUACGGAAACUGCACAAAGGCCAACAAGAGUCAUGAAAAUAAAAUA